This 484-nucleotide ribosomal RNA is filed under the name uncultured bacterium. Its description in RNAcentral is "partial 16S ribosomal RNA". It matches the Rfam family "Bacterial small subunit ribosomal RNA", at positions 30 to 507 of the family's 1533-position model. The record is from RNAcentral.
AUUGAACGCUGGCGGCAGGCCUAACACAUGCAAGUCGAGCGGAUGAAGGGAGCUUGCUCCUGGAUUCAGCGGCGGACGGGUGAGUAAUGCCUAGGAAUCUGCCUGGUAGUGGGGGAUAACGUCCGGAAACGGGCGCUAAUACCGCAUACGUCCUGAGGGAGAAAGUGGGGGAUCUUCGGACCUCACGCUCUCAGAUGAGCCUAGGUCGGAUUAGCUAGUUGGUGGGGUAAAGGCCUACCAAGGCGACGAUCCGUAACUGGUCUGAGAGGAUGAUCAGUCACACUGGAACGGAGACACGGUCCAGACUCCUACGGGAGGCAGCAGUGGGGAAUAUUGGACAAUGGGCGAAAGCCUGAUCCAGCCAUGCCGCGUGUGAGAAGAAGGUCUUCGGAGUGUAAAGCACUUUAAGUUGGGAGGAAGGGCAGUAAGUUAAUACCUUGCUGUUUUGACGUUACCAACAGAAUAAGCACCGGCUAACUUCGUG